GUGAAGUGAUGAUAAAGUUUAUCCAUUCUCUGAGUGUUGCUGCUCUUCCCUUCCUGCCACAUCCAGAUCCCUGUUCUAGGGUCUCGAUGCUGUGUGGCCUCCAGACUCCUCCUAGCCUUGCAGCGUUCUGCUGGGGGCGGUGGUGGAUGUCAGGCUGGCCACUAGCAGGGCCUGGGUAGAACUAGCAGGGCCAGAGCCCCUGCCUUUGGGGCUCUGACUCAGCCAAGAAGAAUGAAACUGUCUGAUCAC
Eublepharis macularius is the source of this 249-nucleotide small nucleolar RNA. RefSeq annotates it as small nucleolar RNA SNORD17. The record is from RefSeq and is a predicted model, not a curated record. Lineage: Eukaryota; Metazoa; Chordata; Lepidosauria; Squamata; Eublepharidae. The transcript has a single exon.